RNAcentral lists this microRNA precursor (84 nucleotides) under Paramuricea clavata. Lineage: Eukaryota; Metazoa; Cnidaria; Anthozoa; Malacalcyonacea; Plexauridae. The record is from RNAcentral.
CUCGGGAAAUAGUUAGUUUUGUUUUCCCUCGAAUCUCAAUGUUUCUAACAUUGAGAUUCUCGGGAAAACAAAACUAUUUCCCUC